GCCUGGUGUGGUAGUGCGCACCUGUAAUCCCAGCAUCUCAGGAGGCUGAGGCAGAAGGAUUGCAAGUUCAAAGCCACCCUCAGCAAUUUAGUAAGGCCUUAUGCAAUUUAGUAAGACCCUGUCUCUA
RNAcentral lists this small RNA (127 nucleotides) under Marmota monax (woodchuck). The record is from RNAcentral. Lineage: Eukaryota; Metazoa; Chordata; Mammalia; Rodentia; Sciuridae.